RNAcentral lists this long non-coding RNA (723 nucleotides) under Gossypium barbadense (sea-island cotton). RNAcentral describes it as "long non-coding RNA (GBAR_LNC022756)". Lineage: Eukaryota; Viridiplantae; Streptophyta; Magnoliopsida; Malvales; Malvaceae. The record is from RNAcentral.
GGUCCGGCAAGGAUUACCCUUAACAAGACCGGUGACCAUUACUUCAUUUGCAGUGUCCCCGGUCAUUGUUCCGCCGGCCAAAAGCUCAAGGUUGAAGUUCGAACUGGUAACACCACCGGUGGCGUUGCUCCGUCGCCGCCUGUAACUCCAAGCACCACCACUUUUACAGUGGGUGACUCUACUGGUUGGCGUGUCCCUACCAAUGAUGAUUUUUAUGAGGAUUGGGCUGAUCAUAAACACUUCGUUGUUGGGGAUGUUUUAGGUCAGCUUUUAAAUUUAAAAUUUUUGAUAUUAAUUAUGAUAUGUAAAUGUAGUUUGAUAUAACUGUUUGAUGUUUUCUUCUUUUCUUGCAGUGUUUAAUUUUACGACCGGACAGCAUAAUGUUGCAGAGGUGACUGAAGAUGGUUACGACGACUGCAACGCUGCAAAUGCCAUAUCUACUUUGACCACCGGUCCGGCAAGGAUUACCCUUAACAAGACCGGUGACAAUUACUUCAUUUGCAGUGUCCCCGGUCAUUGUUCCGCCGGCCAAAAGCUCAAGGUUGAAGUUCGAACUGGUAACACCACCGGUGGCGUUGCUCCGUCGCCGCCUGUAACUCCAAGCACCACCACUUUUACGGUGGGUGACUCUACUGGUUGGCGUGUCCCUACCAAUAAUGAUGAUUUUUAUGAGGAUUGGGCUGAUCAUAAAGACUUCGUUGUUGGGGAUGUUUUAGGUGAGCU